AUGAACGCUGGCGGCGUGCCUAAUACAUGCAAGUCGAGCGAACGGACGAGAAGCUUGCUUUUCUGAUGUUAGCGGCGGACGGGUGAGUAACACGUGGAUAACCUACCUAUAAGACUGGGAUAACUUCGGGAAACCGGAGCUAAUACCGGAUAAUAUUUUGAACCGCAUGGUUCAAAAGUGAAAGACGGUCUUGCUGUCACUUAUAGAUGGAUCCGCUCUGCAUUAGCUAGUUGGUAAGGUAACGGCUUACCAAGGCAACGAUGCAUAGCCGACCUGAGAGGGUGAUCGGCCACACUGGAACUGAGACACGGUCCAGACUCCUACGGGAGGCAGCAGUAGGGAAUCUUCCGCAAUGGGCGAAAGCCUGACGGAGCAACGCCGCGUGAGUGAUGAAGGUCUUCGGAUCGUAAAACUCUGUUAUUAGGGAAGAACAUAUGUGUAAGUAACUGUGCACAUCUUGACGGUACCUAAUCAGAAAGCCACGGCUAACUACGUG
RNAcentral lists this ribosomal RNA (496 nucleotides) under uncultured bacterium. RNAcentral describes it as "partial 16S ribosomal RNA". It matches the Rfam family "Bacterial small subunit ribosomal RNA", at positions 29 to 507 of the family's 1533-position model. The record is from RNAcentral.